GGACCAAGCGUUGUUCGGAUUUACUGGGCGUAAAGGGCGCGUAGGCGGCAAUUCAAGUCAUCUGUGAAAUCUCUGGGCUUAACCCAGAACGGCCAGGUGAUACUGCUUUGCUAGAGUGCGGAGGGGGCAAUCGGAAUUCUUGGUGUAGCGGUGAAAUGCGUAGAUAUCAAGAGGAACACCUGAGGUGAAGACGGGUUGCUGGGCCGACACUGACGCUGACAGCGCGAAAGCCAGGGGAGCGAACAGG
This 247-nucleotide ribosomal RNA is filed under the name uncultured bacterium. RNAcentral describes it as "partial 16S ribosomal RNA". It matches the Rfam family "Bacterial small subunit ribosomal RNA", at positions 531 to 776 of the family's 1533-position model. The record is from RNAcentral.